This is a non-coding RNA of Dicentrarchus labrax (European seabass), 549 nucleotides long. The record is from the annotation of a RefSeq genome assembly. Lineage: Eukaryota; Metazoa; Chordata; Actinopteri; Moronidae.
ACAUCAACUGAGAUCCAAGUCAAAUCCAGUUCCACACUGUGAGGAGGAGUCAAUGCAAAACUCAGAUGUCUUCCACCUCUACUUAUCUGACUGCAGAGAGGAUGACAGAGAACAGUGGACACACAGUUUAACAUGAUGGACUAUAGGACAGGACUGCUGCUGUUAACUAUCUGCUGGGCAGGUGUUGAUGGUCAGACUCUGACAGAAUCUGAACCAGUGGUUAAAAGGCCUGGAGAAUCUCACAGAUUGACCUGUACAACCUCUGGAUUCACAUUCAGCAGCUACUAUAUGCACUGGGUCAGACAGGCUCCUGGAAAAGGACUGGAGUGGAUUGCCACUGUUGAUACUGGUAGCUACAUCUACUACUCCCAGUCAGUUCAAGGCCGGUUUACCAUCUCCAGAGACAACAACAGACAGCAGGUGUAUCUGCAGAUGAACAGUCUGAAGACUGAAGAUUCUGCUGUUUAUUAUUGUGCUCGAGAGCCACAGUGACUGGAGUUGGUUGAGCAGCUGUACAAAAUCCUACAGCACUAUUUUUUAGUAAUUGGU